RNAcentral lists this transfer RNA (68 nucleotides) under Vaillantella maassi. RNAcentral describes it as "tRNA-Phe". It matches the Rfam family "tRNA". Rfam says of the family: Transfer RNA (tRNA) molecules are approximately 80 nucleotides in length. Their secondary structure includes four short double-helical elements and three loops (D, anti-codon, and T loops). Lineage: Eukaryota; Metazoa; Chordata; Actinopteri; Cypriniformes; Vaillantellidae. The record is from RNAcentral.
GCUAGCGUAGCUUAAUAAAAGCAUGGCACUGAAGAUGCCAAGACGGGCCCUAAAAAGCCCCGCAUGCA